GACGAACGCUGGCGGCGUGCUUAACACAUGCAAGUCGAACGGAAAGGCCCUGCUUUGGUGGGGUGCUCGAGUGGCGAACGGGUGAGUAACACGUGAGUAACCUGCCCUUGACUUUGGGAUAACUUCAGGAAACUGGGGCUAAUACCGGAUAGGAGCACCUGCUGGAUGGUGGGGGUUGGAAAGUUUCGGCGGUUGGGGAUGGACUCGCGGAUUAUCAGCUUGUUGGUGGGGUAGUGGCUUACCAAGGCUUUGACGGGUAGCCGGCCUGAGAGGGUGACCGGCCACAUUGGGACUGAGAUACGGCCCAGACUCCUACGGGAGGCAGCAGUGGGGAAUAUUGCACAAUGGGCGGAAGCCUGAUGCAGCAACGCCGCGUGCGGGAUGACGGCCUUCGGGUUGUAAACCGCUUUCGCCUGUGACGAAGCGUGAGUGACGGUAAUGGGUGAAGAAGCACCGGCUAACUACGUG
Molecule: ribosomal RNA, 468 nt
Filed under: uncultured bacterium
Lineage: Bacteria
Description: partial 16S ribosomal RNA
Rfam family: Bacterial small subunit ribosomal RNA
Source: RNAcentral